Molecule: non-coding RNA, 676 nt
Organism: Cinara cedri
Lineage: Eukaryota; Metazoa; Arthropoda; Insecta; Hemiptera; Aphididae
Source: the annotation of a GenBank genome assembly
UUUAAACAGGCGGAUUUUUUUGCUAUUGCACAUCUUGCACACCCCGUGCGCACAAUUAUGACGAUAGGUAUUUCGUGUCUUGUUCAGAGGCAUUAGACGAACGACGUUUUCGAAUAAUACCCGAAAUAAUUGUGAUCGGUCAGAACUAGGUUUAUUUAUAGGUCUGUCUGAAAAGAACGGUUACGAUCGGUCGAGUCUAUUUUAAUACGUAAGCUGGAGGGCGAGUUCGGUCGUGUUGUACAGAUGGCGUGAGCUCGAAAUCUAUUUUAUUGAAGUAAACGACGUUUUAGCGGUAACGGUAAUCCCAAAGGCUAUCUGUUUGUCUUUCCUAUAGGCAUUUUAAAAAAAAAAAAGACUUGCGUUUACUUCUUUAUGCGAUCUAUCUCGUCCGCGCGAUAUAAAAAUAUCACACCUUGGUACCGCGAAAUCAUCUAAUAAAUAUUAAAAUAUUGAUAACAAUGAUAAUGAUUUACUUCACACACAUGCCGACAGUGCGAAAUAGCGUGGAACCGAUCCCAUGUGGCGAGGUUUAUUUAACUUGUGGCGGAUAUGGUCGAACGGGGGGAAAUUUCCCUCCUCCUACCAUGACUAUUUCUCUUUCGAUAUCCAUAUAAUCACAUCUUUCCGCCGAUAUCGAGUUCGCUCCUAUCCUAAAAAUUUUAGCAGAUAAUCGACU